RNAcentral lists this ribosomal RNA (460 nucleotides) under uncultured bacterium. RNAcentral's name for it is "partial 16S ribosomal RNA". It matches the Rfam family "Bacterial small subunit ribosomal RNA", at positions 338 to 795 of the family's 1533-position model. The record is from RNAcentral.
UCUACGGGUGGCAGCAGUGAGGAAUAUUGGUCAAUGGACGAGAGUCUGAACCAGCCAAGUAGCGUGAAGGAUGACUGCCCUAUGGGUUGUAAACUUCUUUUAUAAAGGAAUAAAACGAGGCACGUGUGCCUUUUUGCAUGUACUUUAUGAAUAAGGAUCGGCUAACUCCGUGCCAGCAGCCGCGGUAAUACGUAGGGGGCAAGCGUUAUCCGGAUUUAUUGGGUGUAAAGGGAGCGCAGACGGCUGUGCAAGUCUGGAGUGAAAGGCGGGGGCCCAACCCCCGGACUGCUCUGGAAACUGUAAAGCUGGAGUGCAGGAGAGGUAAGCGGAAGUCCUAGUGUAGCGGUGAAAUGCGUAGAUAUUAGGAGGAACACCAGUGGCGAAGGCGGCUUACUGGACUGCAACUGACGUUGAGGCUCGAAAGCGUGGGGAGCAAACAGGAUUAGAUACCCUAGUAGUC